AUCGCGGCAGGUGCUCACGUUAAGCCCACUGACUUUCAUGUCCCUUUCUACUAUCUAGCGAAACCACAGCCAAGGGAACGGGCUUGGAAUAAUUAGCGGGGAAAGAAGACCCUCUUGAGCUUGACUCUAAUCGGGCAGUGUAAGGAGACAUAAGAGGUGUAGAAUAAGUGGGAGAUAUUAGACUUCGGUUUGGUAUCGACAAUGAAAUACCACUGCUCUUAUUGUUUCCUUACUUACUUGAUUAAAUGGAACGUGUAUCAUUUCCUAGCCAUUAUACGGAUAUAAUUAUUAUGUCUUAUGGUAUUGGGUUUUGAUGCAAGCUUCUUGAUCAAAGUAUCACGAGUUUGUUACAUAAUCGCAAACACAUUCUUUAAUGAGAGAAUGCAUUUAUGUAUUAUUGAUUUAAAAAUUUGGUAUAACUCCAAUUACUCAGGUAUGAUCCAAUUCAGGGGCAUUGCCAGGUAGGGAGUUUGACUGGGGCGGUACAUCUCUCAAAUAAUAACGAAGGUGUCCCAAGCUCAGUGCGGACAGAAACCACACAUAGAGCAAAAGGGAAAAUGCUGACUUGAUCUCGGUGUUCAGUACACACAGGGACAGCAAAAGCUCGGCCUAUCGUUCCUUUUGGUUUAAAGAGUUUUUAACCAAGGGGGUUCAAAAAAGUUCCCAAGGGAAUAAUGGGCUUGGGGGGCCAAGGGUUUAAAGGGACUUCGCUUUUUGUUCUUUGAAGUCGGCUCUUCCUAUCCUUGGAAGCAAAUUCCCCCAGCGUUGGAUUGUCACCCCAGCAAGGGAACGUGAGCUGGGUUAGAACCGUCGUGAGACAGGUUAGUUUACCCCUACUAAUGACAAAACGUUGUUGCGACAGCAUUCCUGCGUAGUACGAGAGGAACCGCAGGUACGGACCAAUGGCACAAUACUUGUUCGAGCGAACAGUGGUAUGACGCUACGUCCGUUGGAUUAUGCCUGAACGCCUCUAAGGUCGUAUCCGUGCUGGACUGCAAUGAUAAAUAAGGGGCAAUUUGCAUUGUAUGGCUUCUAAACCAUUAAAAGUUUUUAAUUUGUUUUAUUAACGACAAUGGAUGUGAUGCCAAUGUUAUUUAUAACAUAGUAAAUUGGAAGGAUCUUCGAUCACCUGAUGCCGCGCUAGUUAUAUUUUAAAACAUUAUUUAAUACAAUGUCAAAGCCUAGAAUCAAUUGUAAACGACUUUUGUAACAGGCAAGGUGUUGUAAGUGGUUGAGCAGCUGCCAUACUGCGAUCCACUGAAGCUUAUCCUUUGCUUGAUGAUUC
Molecule: non-coding RNA, 1285 nt
Filed under: Drosophila virilis
Lineage: Eukaryota; Metazoa; Arthropoda; Insecta; Diptera; Drosophilidae
Description: Eukaryotic large subunit ribosomal RNA
Rfam family: Eukaryotic large subunit ribosomal RNA
Source: Rfam by way of RNAcentral